CCCUUAGAUGUUCUGGGCCGCACGCGCGCUACACUGAUGCAUUCAACGAGUCUAAAACCUGGUCUGAGAGGGCUGGGUAAUCUUUUGAAAGUGCAUCGUGAUUGGGAUAGAUGAUUGCAAUUCUUCAUCUUCAACGAGGAAUGCCUAGUAAACGCAAGUCAUCAGCUUGCAUUGAUUGCGUCCCUGCCCUUUGUACACACCGCCCGUCGCUCCUACCGAUUGAACGAUCCGAUGAAAACUGUGGAUUGAGAGUCUGAGUGGGUUCGCCUACCUCAACUUUCGAGAAGCGGUUUAAAUCUUAUCGUUUAGAGGAAGGAGAAGUCGUAACA
Molecule: ribosomal RNA, 329 nt
Filed under: uncultured eukaryote
Lineage: Eukaryota
Description: partial 18S ribosomal RNA
Rfam family: Eukaryotic small subunit ribosomal RNA
Source: RNAcentral